This 1494-nucleotide ribosomal RNA is filed under the name uncultured bacterium. Its description in RNAcentral is "bacterial SSU rRNA". It matches the Rfam family "Bacterial small subunit ribosomal RNA". The record is from RNAcentral.
AGAGUUUGAUCCUGGCUCAGAUUGAACGCUGGCGGCAUGCUUUACACAUGCAAGUCGAACGGCAGCGCGGGGCAACCUGGCGGCGAGUGGCGAACGGGUGAGUAAUAUAUCGGAACGUACCCAAGAGUGGGGGAUAACGUAGCGAAAGUUACGCUAAUACCGCAUACGAUCUAAGGAUGAAAGCAGGGGAUCUUCGGACCUUGUGCUCCUGGAGCGGCCGAUAUCUGAUUAGCUAGUUGGUGAGGUAAAGGCUCACCAAGGCCACGAUCAGUAGCCGGUCUGAGAGGACGACCAGCUACACUGGAACUGAGACACGGUCCAGACUCCUACGGGAGGCAGCAGUGGGGAAUUUUGGACAAUGGGCGAAAGCCUGAUCCAGCAAUGCCGCGUGAGUGAAGAAGGCCUUCGGGUUGUAAAGCUCUUUUGUCAGGGAAGAAACGGUGAGGGCUAAUAUCCCUUGCUAAUGACGGUACCUGAAGAAUAAGCACCGGCUAACUACGUGCCAGCAGCCGCGGUAAUACGUAGGGUGCAAGCGUUAAUCGGAAUUACUGGGCGUAAAGCGUGCGCAGGCUGUUUUGUAAGUCUGACGUGAAAUCCCCGGGCUCAACCUGGGAAUUGCGUUGGAGACUGCAAGGCUAGAAUCUGGCAGAGGGGGGUAGAAUUCCACGUGUAGCAGUGAAAUGCGUAGAGAUGUGGAGGAACACCGAUGGCGAAGGCAGCCCCCUGGGUCAAGAUUGACGCUCAUGCACGAAAGCGUGGGGAGCAAACAGGAUUAGAUACCCUGGUAGUCCACGCCCUAAACGAUGUCUACUAGUUGUCGGGUUUUAAUUAACUUGGUAACGCAGCUAACGCGUGAAGUAGACCGCCUGGGGAGUACGGUCGCAAGAUUAAAACUCAAAGGAAUUGACGGGGACCCGCACAAGCGGUGGAUGAUGUGGAUUAAUUCGAUGCAACGCGAAAAACCUUACCUACCCUUGACAUGUCAGGAAUCCUUGAGAGAUCAGGGAGUGCCCGAAAGGGAACCUGAACACAGGUGCUGCAUGGCUGUCGUCAGCUCGUGUCGUGAGAUGUUGGGUUAAGUCCCGCAACGAGCGCAACCCUUGUCAUUAGUUGCUACAUUCAGUUGGGCACUCUAAUGAGACUGCCGGUGACAAACCGGAGGAAGGUGGGGAUGACGUCAAGUCCUCAUGGCCCUUAUAGGUGGGGCUACACACGUCAUACAAUGGCUGGUACAAAGGGUUGCCAACCCGCGAGGGGGAGCUAAUCCCAUAAAACCAGUCGUAGUCCGGAUCGCAGUCUGCAACUCGACUGCGUGAAGUCGGAAUCGCUAGUAAUCGUGGAUCAGAAUGUCACGGUGAAUACGUUCCCGGGUCUUGUACACACCGCCCGUCACACCAUGGGAGCGGGUUCUGCCAGAAGUAGUUAGCCUAACCGCAAGGAGGGCGAUUACCACGGCAGGGUUCGUGACUGGGGUGAAGUCGUAACAAGGUAACC